This is a non-coding RNA of Vicugna pacos (alpaca), 682 nucleotides long. NCBI's taxonomy places the organism in Eukaryota, Metazoa, Chordata, Mammalia, Artiodactyla, Camelidae. The record is from RefSeq and is a predicted model, not a curated record.
UUCAUGCAAUCUUUGCAUGUAUAUCUAUGCAAAGGUCUUUUUAUAUUUUUAACCAUGUAAAUUAUUCUUUUCUAUUCAUUUUCUGUUGUUUGAAAUGUGUUAAAUGUGUUGGCAAGGCAUGUCACUGCAUGCAUGACUUUUUCUAAUGCCAGAUUCUCUUUUUUCCUUCUUCUUUUCUUUCUCCCUUUAUCCUUCCCUCCCUCCCUGCUCCCCUCCCCCAUUUUCUUUCUUUCCUUCCUUUCUUCAGUCCUAACUCCUUCCCUCUUGCCCUUUCUUCCUUCCUUCCCAAUUCAUUCCCAUGUGUACUAACUACAUCAAUAGCAGUUCAAAUCAGCAUCCUCCAAUGUUUUGCCAUCCUGGAGUAGUAUUUUCUACGGUUCUGGAGAUGAUCAAGUGAGAUAAUUAAUGCAUGUCUGCAAAUUUCAAAUGUCAUGAAGCACAGUACUAUGAAGGUGCAACCCACUGUGUGUGCAGACAUCCAUUUGGUCCAUACAUGUGGCUGCUGUGGAACCUGGGAGCCAGUGUAACUGACACCAACAAGCUGAUCUCAUGCUACUUCCUAUGAGCCAUGAGUCUCCUCUUCCGGAGAUUUGUGCCUUAUGCCAGUCUCCAUGAAACUCUGUUGGCCUAACUUGAAAGGUUUGUAUAUUCAAGCUGAAGAGCAUAAAGAAGGACUGUUUAA